Molecule: long non-coding RNA, 852 nt
Organism: Panicum hallii
Lineage: Eukaryota; Viridiplantae; Streptophyta; Magnoliopsida; Poales; Poaceae
Exons: 3
Source: RefSeq, a predicted model, not a curated record
GUGAGAGUGAUGAUUCAGAGGAUGAAAUUGAUGAGUUUUGGGAUAUAAUUUUGAGUGGUGCUAGAGUGGCAGAAAAAUAUGUCGAGCUUUACCUAGACAAAAAUCCGAAAAGGAUAGCUGAUCAAAGUGGGAUGGGAUGGUUACAAUAUGUUUUGAGGACUCCAGGUGAAUGCCAUUCUCAAUUACGCAUGAGCACAGAAAUUUUUAUGGACCUUCAUGAUAUAUUGGUGUCAAGUGGGCCAACCGGGAUCCGUGCAUGACACGACUGUGUUAUACAAUGCAAUGAAGGUGGACCAGCAGUUCUUCCCUCAUCCUCCACAAAAUAAAUACUAUGUUGUUGAUGCGGGAUACCCUAAUAGAGUUGGAUACCUAGCACCGUAUAAGGGCGAGAGGUACCAUUUACCGGAAUGGCAUAGAGGUAUGGAGCCAAAAUCUGCUAAGGAAAAGUUCAAUCGUAUUCAUGCACGUGUUCGUAGCGUUGUUGAGAGGUCAUUUGGGGUCCUAAAGAUGAAGUGGCGAAAUUCUAUAUAAAAUGGCAAUCUAUCCAUUGUGGAAGCAAAAGAUGAUAGUUGUGGCGUGCAUGGUAAUCCAUAACUUUAUUCGUGAGCAUAAUGCUGGUGAUUUGGACUUUGAACGUGUGGAACGUGAUGAAAAUUAUGUGCCUACAAUACCAGAAAGGUAUAACAAGUAUGUAGUUCCCUCCGAUGGAUCGACUUCAUUACCUAAUGCGCCCACUAUGGAUGAUUUCCGUGAUGAAUUAGCGACCGCUAUUGCUAGAGGUUGGAACUAGUGUAUGUGGUAAUGUUAGUAUUUGAUGGACACUUGAAUGGAUAUGUAAUGGUGUUAUACCUU